Molecule: ribosomal RNA, 456 nt
Filed under: Pseudomonas sp. CL3.127
Lineage: Bacteria; Pseudomonadati; Pseudomonadota; Gammaproteobacteria; Pseudomonadales; Pseudomonadaceae
Description: bacterial SSU rRNA
Rfam family: Bacterial small subunit ribosomal RNA
Source: RNAcentral
UUGAUCCAUGGCUCAGAUUGAACGCUGGCGGCAGGCCUAACACAUGCAAGUCGAGCGGCAGCACGGGUACUUGUACCUUGGUGGCGAGCGGCGGACGGGUGAGUAAUGCCUAGGAAUCUGCCUGGUAGUGGGGGAUAACGCUCGGAAACGGACGCUAAUACCGCAUACGUCCUACGGGAGAAAGCAGGGGACCUUCGGGCCUUGCGCUAUCAGAUGAGCCUAGGUCGGAUUAGCUAGUUGGUGAGGUAAUGGCUCACCAAGGCGACGAUCCGUAACUGGUCUGAGAGGAUGAUCAGUCACACUGGAACUGAGACACGGUCCAGACUCCUACGGGAGGCAGCAGUGGGGAAUAUUGGACAAUGGGCGAAAGCCUGAUCCAGCCAUGCCGCGUGUGUGAAGAAGGUCUUCGGAUUGUAAAGCACUUUAAGUUGGGAGGAAGGGCAGUUACCUAAUACG